GAACCUGCGGAAGGAUCAUUACCGAGUGAGGGCCCUCUGGGUCCAACCUCCCACCCGUGUCUAUCGUACCUUGUUGCUUCGGCGGGCCCGCCGUUUCGACGGCCGCCGGGGAGGCCUUGCGCCCCCGGGCCCGCGCCCGCCGAAGACCCCAACAUGAACGCUGUUCUGAAAGUAUGCAGUCUGAGUUGAUUAUCGUAAUCAGUUAAAACUUUCAACAACGGAUCUCUUGGUUCCGGCAUCGAUGAAGAACGCAGCGAAAUGCGAUAAGUAAUGUGAAUUGCAGAAUUCAGUGAAUCAUCGAGUCUUUGAACGCACAUUGCGCCCCCUGGUAUUCCGGGGGGCAUGCCUGUCCGAGCGUCAUUGCUGCCCUCAAGCACGGCUUGUGUGUUGGGCCCCCGUCCCCCUCUCCCGGGGGACGGGCCCGAAAGGCAGCGGCGGCACCGCGUCCGGUCCUCGAGCGUAUGGGGCUUUGUCACCUGCUCUGUAGGCCCGGCCGGCGCCAGCCGACACCCAACUUUAUUUUUCUAAGGUUGACCUCGGAUCAGGUAGGGAUACCCGCUGAACUUAAGCAUAUCAAU
RNAcentral lists this ribosomal RNA (578 nucleotides) under Aspergillus fumigatus. RNAcentral's name for it is "eukaryotic LSU rRNA". The stretch from base 207 to 360 matches the Rfam family "5.8S ribosomal RNA". The record is from RNAcentral. Lineage: Eukaryota; Fungi; Ascomycota; Eurotiomycetes; Eurotiales; Aspergillaceae.